AUGGCUGCGGUUGACUUUGACCUUAAGUUUACCUAUGUGUUAGCUGGUUGGGAAGGGUCAGCCCAUGAUGCAUUCAUUUUGGCCGAUGCGUUGGAAAGGAAUGAUGGAUUUUUUGUCCCUGCAGGAAAAUUCUACCUUGUGGAUGCGGGCUAUGCCGUGCGGCCAGGGUUUCUUCCACCACAUAGGGCUACUCGCUAUCAUCUUAUUGAGUUUGGUGAAUGUGUCCCUCAAAAUGAGAAGGAGUUAUUCAACCUCCGCCACUCCUCAUUGAGGAUCAUGGUUGAGAGGGCAUUUGCAGCUUUCAAGAACCGAUGGAGAAUUGUGGACGACAAGCCUCACCACCCUUAUCCGUCACAAGUCGAAAUUGUCCUAGCUUGUUGCAUUCUUCAUAAUUGGAUACUAUAG
This 405-nucleotide ribosomal RNA is filed under the name Triticum aestivum (bread wheat). RNAcentral describes it as "partial small subunit ribosomal RNA". Lineage: Eukaryota; Viridiplantae; Streptophyta; Magnoliopsida; Poales; Poaceae. The record is from RNAcentral.